GACGAACGCUGACGGCGUGCUUAACACAUGCAAGUCGAACGCUGAAGCUUGGUGCUUGCCCUGGGUGGAUGAGUGGCGAACGGGUGAGUAAUACGUGAGUAACCUGCCCUUGACUCUGGGAUAAGCCUGGGAAACUGGGUCUAAUACUGGAUACGACAUGUCACCGCAUGGUGGUGUGUGGAAAGGGUUUUACUGGUUUUGGAUGGGCUCACGGCCUAUCAGCUUGUUGGUGGGGUAAUGGCUCACCAAGGCGACGACGGGUAGCCGGCCUGAGAGGGUGACCGGCCACACUGGGACUGAGACACGGCCCAGACUCCUACGGGAGGCAGCAGUGGGGAAUAUUGCACAAUGGGCGGAAGCCUGAUGCAGCGACGCCGCGUGAGGGAUGACGGCCUUCGGGUUGUAAACCUCUUUCAGCACGGAAGAAGCGAAAGUGACGGUACGUGCAGAAGAAGCGCCGGCUAACUACGUG
RNAcentral lists this ribosomal RNA (472 nucleotides) under uncultured bacterium. RNAcentral's name for it is "partial 16S ribosomal RNA". It matches the Rfam family "Bacterial small subunit ribosomal RNA", at positions 28 to 507 of the family's 1533-position model. The record is from RNAcentral.